Unclassified non-coding RNA from Otolemur garnettii (small-eared galago), 114 nucleotides. It matches the Rfam family "Y RNA". From Rfam's summary of the family: Y RNAs are components of the Ro ribonucleoprotein particle (Ro RNP), in association with Ro60 and La proteins. The Y RNAs and Ro60 and La proteins are well conserved, but the function of the Ro RNP is not known. In humans the RNA component can be one of four small RNAs -- hY1, hY3, hY4 and hY5. The record is from Ensembl. NCBI's taxonomy places the organism in Eukaryota, Metazoa, Chordata, Mammalia, Primates, Galagidae.
GGCUGGUCCAAAGGUAGUGAAUUACCUCACUUGAUUGUUCACAAGUCAGUUAUGGACUGAACUCCUUGUUCUACUCUUUCCCCCCUUCUCACUACUGCACCUGACUCAUCUUAA